GUUUUAUUCCUCUGGACAUCAUUUGUUUCUAGACUCAACAACUGCAACAUCCACAAACACUACUAUUCAUGAGGAUGAUUCUGAAACAAUGAUCAAAGAAUUGCUGGAGACUCAAAUUCGACCAGCAGUGCAAGAUGAUGGUGGGGAUAUUGAAUAUCGGGGAUUUGAUCCGAAUACUUAAAUUGAAAAUGCAAGGAGCAUGCAGUGGCUGCCCCAGCUCAUCUGUUACUUUAAAGUCAGGCAUUGAAAAUAUGCUAAUGCAUUACGUUCCAGAGGU
This is a long non-coding RNA of Hibiscus syriacus, 277 nucleotides long. RefSeq lists it as uncharacterized. The record is from RefSeq and is a predicted model, not a curated record. Lineage: Eukaryota; Viridiplantae; Streptophyta; Magnoliopsida; Malvales; Malvaceae. The transcript is spliced from 3 exons.